UAAUACCGGAUAGAUCAAAGAUACUGGAAUGUUCCUUGAUCCAAAGCUCCGGCGUCCAAGGAUGGAUCUGCGGCCUAUCAGGUAGUAGUGGGUGUAACGUACCUACUAGCCUACGACGGGUACGGGUUGUGAGAGCAAGAGCCCGGAGAUGGAUUCUGAGACAUGAAUCCAGGCCCUACGGGGCGCAGCAGGCGCGAAAACUUUACACUGCGGGAAACCGCGAUAUGGGGACCCCGAGUGCCAGCACCUAGUGCUGGCUGUCCCGCUGUCUAAACAACAGUGGUUAGCAAGGGCCGGGCAAGACCGGUGCCAGCCGCCGCGGUAACACCGGCGGCCCGAGUGGUAGCCGUUAUUAUUGGGUUUAAAGGGUCCGUAGCCGGCCUAUUAAGUCUCUUGGGAAAUCUGGCGGCUUAAUCGUCAGGCGUCC
This 427-nucleotide ribosomal RNA is filed under the name uncultured archaeon. RNAcentral's name for it is "bacterial SSU rRNA". It matches the Rfam family "Archaeal small subunit ribosomal RNA", at positions 147 to 575 of the family's 1478-position model. The record is from RNAcentral.